GGAAAACUGAAUAACAAAUAAAACAACAGGAAAGACUAGGUCACCGGAGAAACAAUCUAUGUUCUCCAGUGCAAGCAUGGAAAUUGUUUUCCCAGGGAAGCCCCAAUUCUUCCCCAUCAACAUCAAAAUGAGAGCUUGUAACCUGAGGCCUGCCCUCGGCUUGUACCAUGCAGGCAGGCUUUCAUCCUGACCAGAGGCCCAUUUUGGCAUGCACCGUUCAGGUGAGCUUUUAUCCUGACCAGAAGCCCACCUUCAGCUUGUGCAGUUCAGGUAAGCUCCCUUCUUUGGUUAGGAACCUGCCUUCGGGUUUUUUUUGCCAUCAGGCAAGGUCCUUGCUUUGAGUCCCUGCAUUUUCUCAGCUCCCCGCACGUAUAUGUCAUUCAGUUAUAAUGUAUACAGAUAUAUCUAUUCUUUUUCAAGUUCUUUUCCACUAUAGGUUAAUACAACAUACUGAAUAUAGUUCCCUGUGCUAUACAGUAGUACUUAUUUUUUUGAUCUAUUUUAUAUGUAGUAGUGUGUAUCUGUUAAUCCCAAAUUACUAAUUUGUCCCUCCCUCCUUUCCCACUUUGGUAACCAUAAGUUUGUUUUCUAUGUGUGUGAGUCUAUUUCUGUUUUGUAAGUGAGUUCAUUUGUAUCAUUUUUUUUAGAUUCCACAUAUAAGUGAUUUGUCUGAUUUAUUUCACUUAGUACACUAAUCUCUAGGUCCAUCAAUGUUGCUGCAAAUGGCAUAUUUUCAUCCUUUUAUAUGGAUAAAUAAUAUUCCAUUGCAUAUAUGUACCACACCUUCUUUAUCCAUACAUCUGUCAAUGGACAUCUAGGUUGUUUCUAUGUCUUGGCUAUUGUGAAUAGUGCUGCAAUGAAUAUUGGGUUGCAUAUAUCUUUUUGAAUUAGAGUUUUCCUAUUUUUGAUAUAUAUGGCCAGAAGUGGGAUUGCUGGAUCAUAUGGUAGCUCUAUCCUUAGUUUUUUAAGGAAUUUCUAUACUGUUUUCCACAGUGCCUCACCAAUUUGCAUUCCCACCAAGUGUGUAGGAGGGUUCCCUUUUCUCCAUACCCUCUGUAACAUUUAUUUUUUGUAGACUUUUUUGAUGAUGGCCAUUUUGACCAGUGUGAUUUGUGUUUCUCUAGUAAUUAGCAAUAUUAAGUAUCUUUUCAUGUGCCUGUUGAUCAUCUGUAGGUCUUCUUUGGAGAAAAGUCUAUUUAGAUCGUCUGCCUCUUUUUCAAUUUUUUUUCUUUCUUUUUUUUUUUUUAAGCUAUAUAGGCUCUUUGUACCUUUUGGAAAUUAAUUCCUUGUUGGUUUUAUCAUUUGCAAAUAUGAAAUGAUUUCCUUCUUGAAAAUGAAAACUAUAGUCAUUUCAAAUUUUCACCCAGUGAUAGUUCUCAAAGAAAAAUUGACACUUAAUUAGUUGUUAAAUUCUUCACCAACUUGAACUUCUAUAGGCCAGCAUAUUUAAACUUCCUUUGUCAUUGCUCUCUUACUUGAGGCUCCUGAUCAUACCAUGGCUCUGGUAGGCAGGAAUUUUCCACUUAUUUCAACUACGCAAUCUCAGGGUGCUCCAGUUUAAAUGACAUUCCCACAGGGACUCUCUUGCUCUUCUUGUCUUAGUCCUCUUCUACCAACACUACCAGAAAGCCUGGAUUAAUCCUACUCAACCACAUUUGUGUUAUUACUUAUCUGCUGCUCUCAUAUCACUUAAUUUCAUGGUUGCUUACUUAUCCUUAUUCUACUUUAAUAUAGUAAAUAGCUUAGAGAAGUCUAUCUUAUAUGCCAAGUUCUAGGAUGUUUUAUGCUUGACAUUCAGACAAAUAUUAGUUAUAUAAUAGAUAAUCUUUUGACAUGAAGUUUGAUAAUUUUAAAUUUUUUGUAUUAAAGUACAGCUGAUUCACAAUGUUCUGUCACUUUUUGCUGUUUAGCAAAGGGACUCAAUCAUACAAAAAUAUGAUGUUUGAUGCUUCUGAUAAUGCAAAUGAGAAUUUUUAUGUGAAGAUAAAAAAUAAAAAGUUAACACAUGGCAUUAAUCUGUGAACAAAAAAAGAAAGGAAGGUAUGGUAACAGUAUCUGUCCUGUUAAAAUGUUUAUUUUAAAAUUUCCUUAAAUUUAAAUUGAAACAGAUUAAAAGCCAAAAGUUAUGAAAAGUCAUAAUAAUAAUUAACCUGAAAAUUACCCUAAAAGUGAUUUAUAGUCAUAAAAGUCCAUUAAAAAAAGUGUAGAGAAAUAAAAGUUUAAAAAAAUGAACUAUUGCUAACAAGUAGGAUCCAAGAUUUAUUUUAUUGAUUUUGAAAGGAAAAGUCUGUUCAACUAAAUGUAUGUGCUUCUCCAGAGACAUCAAGAGGAUUUCCAGGAACAGCCCAAGAAAUACCUCCUUGUACCACAGUUCCUGUUGUGGCUCAUCGGGUUGAGAAUCCGACCAGUAUCCACGAGGAUGUAGGUUCUAAUCCUGGCCUCGCUCAGUAGGUUUAGCGGCAAGCUGUAGCUUAGGUUGCAGAUGCAGCUCAAGUCCUGCAUUUCUGUGACUGUGGCAUGGGCCAGCAGCUGCCACUCUGAUUUGACCCCUAGCCUGGGAACUUCCAAUUGCCACAGGUGUGGCCUGAAAAAACAAAACCAAAAAACCCAUCUAGUCCUAAAAUUAAGCAAGCUGCAUAUCAUAAACCAACUACAAAGAUAAAAUUAAAAUGUAAUGCCUUUAUACACAUAUAUUAUUAAUACUAUGGUAAUAAUAAAUGGUAUUAUAAUUGAAUAAUAUACAAUAAAACUGUGAUUAUAAUAAAAAUGAGAUUACCAAUACUCAGAAUUAAAGAGCCAGUGAAAGUGAAAAAUAAAGUAAAAGCAAGAAAAAA
Molecule: long non-coding RNA, 2834 nt
Filed under: Sus scrofa (pig)
Lineage: Eukaryota; Metazoa; Chordata; Mammalia; Artiodactyla; Suidae
Description: lncRNA (ENSSSCG00040005806.1)
Source: RNAcentral